Molecule: ribosomal RNA, 255 nt
Filed under: uncultured bacterium
Lineage: Bacteria
Description: partial 16S ribosomal RNA
Rfam family: Bacterial small subunit ribosomal RNA
Source: RNAcentral
UACAGAGGGCGCGAGCGUUGUCCGGAAUCACUGGGCGUAAAGGGCGCGUAGGUGGCGGCAUAAGGCCGUGGUGAAAGUCCGGGGCUCAACUCCGGAUCGGCCAUGGCGACUGUGUCGCUGGGGCACCGUAGAGGCAGAUGGAAUUCCGGGUGUAGCGGUGGAAUGCGUAGAGAUCCGGAAGAACACCGGUGGCGAAGGCGGCCUGCUGGGCAGUUUGGCUGACACUGAGGCGCGACAGCGUGGGGAGCAAACAGG